Molecule: small nuclear RNA, 142 nt
Organism: Camelus dromedarius (Arabian camel)
Lineage: Eukaryota; Metazoa; Chordata; Mammalia; Artiodactyla; Camelidae
Gene: U4
Rfam family: U4 spliceosomal RNA
About the family: U4 small nuclear RNA (U4 snRNA) is a component of the major U2-dependent spliceosome. The structure of U4 snRNA from yeast and human has been reported. U4 snRNA presents a k-turn RNA motif in the 5p-SL related to recognition of Snu13 protein.
Source: Ensembl
AGCUUUGCACAGUGGCGGUAUAGCAGCCAAUGAGGUUUAACUGAGGUGCAAUUAUUCCUAAUUGAAAAAAAAAUUUUGUUUAAUUAAAAAAAUUUUAAGUUUAAAAUUUUUUUUAUUUAAUGUUUUGAACACUUGUAAAGGA